AAUAUAAACAGGGUGCUGAAGGGUAAUAGAGUUGAAGAAAGAUGCAAGAAAUGGAGAGACCAAAGCUUGAAGAAGAAAAGGCAAAAGAAAUGGAAAUCGAGAGGGACAGUGGUGAAAAUUUUGAGAGAAAAAGGGUUGAAGGUUUGAAUGGAGAGAGAAGAAGAGAAGAGGUUGAUAAUAAAGAAGAAGAAGAAGAAGCAUUCAUGGAGAAAGCGUUUAAAGAAACAGAAGUGCCUCCAUGGACAAAGCAAAUAACAAUUAGGGCAAUGGCAACAAGCUUUGGUUUGAGUGUGGUGUUUAAUUUCAUAGUGUGUAAGCUUAAUCUAACAACUGGUGUGAUUCCUUCACUUAAUGUAGCAGCUGG
RNAcentral lists this unclassified non-coding RNA (364 nucleotides) under Hevea brasiliensis (rubber tree). Lineage: Eukaryota; Viridiplantae; Streptophyta; Magnoliopsida; Malpighiales; Euphorbiaceae. The record is from RNAcentral.